Long non-coding RNA from Pygocentrus nattereri (red-bellied piranha), 4249 nucleotides. NCBI's taxonomy places the organism in Eukaryota, Metazoa, Chordata, Actinopteri, Characiformes, Serrasalmidae. The record is from Ensembl.
GGAAACUUUGAAAGAAGAGGGAAGAAGGGAGUCAGUCAUAUGAACGUCCACCAUGAAGAACCUCCUGCAGACCUGGACGUGGGUUUUUAUCUCUGUACUCCACACUAAUGAAGCCAUUAUGGGGGCCUCCGUAGUGUACGUGCCUGAGGAGCACUUCCUGUUCCUGGCAUGCAGACGUGGUUCAGAUGUGGAGUGGACGCAUGAAAUCGUGAGGAUCAAUGCAACUAAACACAUGAGCAGUGAGUCUCGGCUGGACUGGAGCAAAUACCAGCUCCUCCCAGACGGAACUCUCUACAUCAGAAAGCUGGAGAAGUCGGACCGCGGACGAUACUACUGCAACGGCCAGCUGGUGGCAGAGGUCAUCAUACUCACAGGUGAGAGCUUUGUGGUUUCUGAGGGCAGUACUCUGUACCUGCCGUGUUCUUUCUCCGGGAAGCUCAAGCAGAGGUGGGCCUAUAAACACACAGCAGCCUCAAAGCGAGAGUACAUCUCCACCAUGCUUAAGAACGGGACGGUGACUCAGGAGAGAGAAGAUCCAGACAGCAGGUUCUUUCACUCUUACAACCACCUGCACAUCAACAACCUGCAGCUCUCUGACUCCGGCAUCUACCUGUGCAACGGCCAUGAGGUCGCUAAUGUUAUGGUCAUUCACACAGAGAGUGAAACUUUCCAGACUGCUACAACAGAUUCUACAGAAGUAGAAAAUAACGUCCCUUAUAUGCCUGAAAAUGCGACUCUGGUUCUUUUCCUGGCGUUCACUGUGCUGGCUGUGGUUGUGGUCACUCUGCUCUCCGUCAUUCUCUGUCUAAGGUUUAGAAGCAGAAGAAAAGAUCCAGCGCCCAGGCAGGAGGAUACUGAGCUGCAGCUGCAGAAGACUUCAGCUCGAGUUCUAGCAGGUCCGAAAAGGAGCCCCGGCGAUGAGGAGCAUUCUGUGCCUCUGACAAACCACUGUGAGAUCCAGUACGCGUCACUGGGAAGGCAAAACUGGAGAGCCAGAGGAUGGACACAGAACAGUGGGCAGCAGGUCAUCUACUCCACACUGCUGCAUGGUCCAACCAGCCCUCUACCCACUUCAUCAAUUACUCAGAGACUCUAGAUCCAGCUCUCCACCCAACUCAUCAGUUACGCAGACUCUAGAUCCAACCAGCUAUCUAACAAAAUAACAAUUACUCAGAGACUCUAGAACUAACCAAUUCUCUACCAAAUGCUUCACUUACUCAGAGACUUUAGAUACAACCAGUUUUCUAGCAAAAUUGUGAAUUACUCAGAGACUCUAGAACCACCCAGCUCUCUAAAAAACUCAUCAAUUACUCAGAGACUCUAGAUCCAACCAGCUCUUUAAUAAACUCAUCAAUUAUGCAGACUCUAGAUCCAACCAGCUUUCUAACAAAAUAACAAUUACUCAGAGACUCUAGAAUCAACAAACUCUCUACCAAACAGAACAAUUGCUCAGAGACUCCAGAUACAAUGAGCUCUCCCCCAAACUCAUCAAUUUAUCAGAGACUUUAGAUCCAACCAAUUCUCUACCAAACACAUCAAUUAUUCAGAAACUCUUGAUCCAACCAACUCUCUACCAAACUCAACAUUUAUUCAAAGAGUCUAGAUCCAACCAGCCCUCUACCCAACUCAUCAAUUACUCAGAAACUCUAGAUCCAACCAACCCUCUACCCAAUUCAUCAAUUAUUUAGAGACUCUGGAUCCAACCAACUCUCUCCCAAACCCAUCAUUUACUCAGAGACCCUAGAUACAAGUUACAUCAGGGGGCAGAACCUUCUCAUACAAAGCCCCCCAGCUUUGGAACAAUCUUCCAGUCAGUGUUUGGGACUCAGACACAGCCUCAGUCUUUAGGUCUGGGCUAAAAACUUACUUCUUUGGUGGAGGCAUUGGUAUUUAGUUUUCCCUGUUAGAGAAAAGGUGCAGAUCUAGGGGUUCAUGGUCAUAGAGUAGUCUGGUAAACUGGGAGUGUUGGUGCUGUCGUCUCACUGCUCUCACUCACUCACUCACUCAGGCUUGUUGACAGUGGAGUGGAGGGGCUCUGACAUCUCAGGUAGAAUCAUGUCUCUGUUACCUUUGUGGUUUCUCCCAUUUAGUUAGGCUGUAAUACCUAGACCUGCCGGAGUCUCUGUUGCCCUGUUAAUACUGUAAUCUGUGAUCGGUCACUCUUUACAGAACUAACUCUCUGUGUGUUUUCCUGUCUUUGCUGAGUUGAACAGCAGCCCAUCCUGUGCGUCUGAUGCUGUCGCUUCAUUCUGCCUUGAUCGGGUGUUACUGCUCGCCAGCCUUCUGGACCGUUUCAGCCUUCUGGACCGAUUUGACCACCAUUGAGCUUCAUGCUGUAGAACGCUGUGCAAACCUCACGGAGGAUCAUGAACUGACCCUCCUGAUGCUGCUGCUGCUGCAUAAACUAAAACCAAUCUAAUGAACCGUUGCACCACCUGUUUUUCCCUGUUUUGUACUAUAAUAUUUUAUUCUGACGCUGUUUGCUAUCCUGCGUCGACCAGAGGAGGAUGAUUUUCAGUCUUGGUUCCUCUCAAGGUUUCUUCCUCUUGUUAUUAGGGGGUUUUUCCUUUCCACUGUCACCACUGGUGAUGCUCAUGGGGCCUCGGACCCAGAUUUUUCUGUAAAGCUGCUUUGUGCCGACACCUGUUGUAAAAGCCUCUAGUCUCUGGAUCCAAGCAGCUCUUUACCAAACACAUCAACUACUCAAAGAGAAUUAAUUAACUCAAUUUAUUAAAACUCAUUUCAUCAAAGUCAUUUUUCUUUGGUCGAAAAAUAGAGGGAAUUCAAGUAAUCGCAGAAAAUGUAAAUAAAUUCAUAAUUAUGCAUAAAAUAUGCAUGCUCUUCAAAAUUGUCCUAGAAAGAAAUCGGAUUGCACACGUCACAAUUAGCCCUGCAAGAGUAGCUAUGCUAAAAUACACGCUAAUAACAUGCAUAUUUGAAGACGGCGCACUCACAAAACAUCAGUACUGCAAUUUUCUUGCCAUGUUUUUUAAUGACUAAGUUUGAGGGUCCAUUCAUGUGUCUGUCAUAAAUGACAUAAGACUGAACCCACAACUUAACGUUGUGGUAUUUAAAAGCAGAAAGCUCUCAUUUCUAAUCUAAUUCAUUGAGAGGGAACAUAAGAGGAGGUUAAGUUUGCCUUCGAGCCGUAACAUUUCACCAUCAAUAUCUCUACACAACUCUCCCUUCCACCGUCCAGAUAACAGUACUGUGACCACCAGCCCCAAGUUGCAUUAACACAGCUGAAAUCACAGUCAUUUCCUUUCACACUUUAUUCAGUCAAAGCUUAUAACAGACAGGAAACAGAGCUGACAGGUCAGCAGGAUAAUACAGUCAUAAUGAUGCUACGCUUUAUAGCGGCUCCGCUGCCGCUUUGCAGUCAUUUCUAAGCUUUCUUUUUUUCAUCAAAAAUACAUUUUUCAAACGCUCAGCGUGUUUUUUUCUGACCUUUCAACUUUAUUUUUAACCUAUUUUAUUUUGAUCAGCUUACGGAGAAAACUUAUGGAAAUAAAAACAGUGUAAUAAAUUGCAAUAUGAUACAAAUAAAGACUUCUGUAAUCUUGUUGAAGAAGAACCGGCUUCUGUAGGAGCUUAUAUAGUACUGCUUAAUGAAGACAUAUUGCUGCAGAGGUGUCAAAUUCAGGUCCAGAAAGUAAAAGUCCUUCCCAGGAUUUUGUUCCAACGGGCUGGCUUCUCUAGUUAGAUCACACCACCAGCAGAGCUGUCCAGCCUGUUGGAACAAAAUCCUGGGAAGGAUUUUUACUUUCUGAACCUGGAUUUGACACCUCUGCUCAUGGAACAAAACCUUGAAUCUCCAGAAAAAGUAACUUUACAGGGGAAGGAAGAAACAUUUCUAACUUUCACUGGAAGUGGAUGUCAACAAAUUUCUAUUCAUCUGUUCAUUGUGAAAUUUUGACAAAGAACAACUUUUCAAAUUAUGCGAGAAAAUAAAAAAGGCAAAAACGGAGAUACAAAGUUUUUCUCUGACAGAGACGAUGCACUCUGACAGACAGAUGGGUGUUCGGCUUAAACUCCACGAUCGGUGGGGAUCUUUUUGGCAACCACGUCGUAGAUCACGUGGUCAGCAGGUGCUGGCUGCCUCUCCUGGGUCUGUGCGGUGUGUCUGAGACUUGCGUAAUGCAGAUCCGCCGCCUACAACGGCAGAAACAGGCAGCAGGAAUCAGACAACAGGAAACAGAGUCUGUAAGACUCCAGCAUAGAAACACAAGGGUGGGGAACUGAAGGCAGG